GGUUCCUACGGGGGGCAGCAGUGGGGAAUAUUGCACAAUGGGGGAAACCCUGAUGCAGCGACGCCGCGUGAGCGAAGAAGUAUUUCGGUAUGUAAAGCUCUAUCAGCAGGGAAGAAAAAUGACGGUACCUGAGUAAGAAGCACCGGCUAAAUACGUGCCAGCAGCCGCGGUAAUACGUAGGUGGCAAGCGUUGUCCGGAUUUACUGGGUGUAAAGGGCGUGCAGCCGGGCUGACAAGUCAGAUGUGAAAUCCCGCGGCUCAACCGCGGAACUGCAUUUGAAACUGUCAGUCUUGAGUACCGGAGG
This 305-nucleotide ribosomal RNA is filed under the name uncultured bacterium. RNAcentral describes it as "bacterial SSU rRNA". It matches the Rfam family "Bacterial small subunit ribosomal RNA", at positions 334 to 655 of the family's 1533-position model. The record is from RNAcentral.